This 429-nucleotide ribosomal RNA is filed under the name Gemmatimonadota bacterium. RNAcentral's name for it is "Gemmatimonadetes bacterium partial 16S ribosomal RNA". It matches the Rfam family "Bacterial small subunit ribosomal RNA", at positions 355 to 776 of the family's 1533-position model. Lineage: Bacteria; Pseudomonadati; Gemmatimonadota. The record is from RNAcentral.
UAGGGAAUCUUCGGCAAUGGACGAAAGUCUGACCGAGCAACGCCGCGUGAGUGAAGAAGGUUUUCGGAUCGUAAAACUCUGUUGUUAGAGAAGAACAAGGACGUUAGUAACUGAACGUCCCCUGACGGUAUCUAACCAGAAAGCCACGGCUAACUACGUGCCAGCAGCCGCGGUAAUACGUAGGUGGCAAGCGUUGUCCGGAUUUAUUGGGCGUAAAGCGAGCGCAGGCGGUUUCUUAAGUCUGAUGUGAAAGCCCCCGGCUCAACCGGGGAGGGUCAUUGGAAACUGGGAGGCUUGAGUGCAGAAGAGGAGAGUUGAAUUCCAUGUGUAGCGAUGAAAUGCGUAGAUAUAUGGAGGAACACCAGUGACGAAGGCGUCUCUCUGGUCUGUAACUGACGCUGAGGCUCGAAAGCGUGGGGAGCAAACAGG